GACGAACGCUGGCGGCGUGCUUAACACAUGCAAGUCGAACGGAAAGGCACUGCUUUUGUGGGGUGCUCGAGUGGCGAACGGGUGAGUAACACGUGAGUAACCUGCCCUUGACUUUGGGAUAACUUCAGGAAACUGGGGCUAAUCCCGGAUAGGAGCUCCUGCUGCAUGGUGGGGGUUGGAAAGUUUCGGCGGGUGGGGAUGGACGGGCGGCUUAUCAGCUUGUUGGUGGGGUAGUGGCUUGCCAAGGCUUUGACGGGUAGCCGGCCUGAGAGGGUGACCGGCCACAUUGGGACUGAGAUACGGACCAGACUCCUACGGGAGGCAGCAGUGGGGAAUAUUGCACAAUGGGCGGAAGCCUGAUGCAGCAACGCCGCGUGCGGGAUGACGGCCUUCGGGUUGUAAACCGCUUUCGCCUGUGACGAAGCGUGAGUGACGGUAAUGGGUAAAGAAGCACCGGCUAACUACGUG
Molecule: ribosomal RNA, 468 nt
Filed under: uncultured bacterium
Lineage: Bacteria
Description: partial 16S ribosomal RNA
Rfam family: Bacterial small subunit ribosomal RNA
Source: RNAcentral